UACAGAGGGUGCGAGCGUUAAUCGGAAUUACUGGGCGUAAAGCGCGCGUAGGUGGCGACGUAAGUCGGGUGUGAAAGCCCCGGGCUCAACCUGGGAAUUGCAUUCGAGACUGCAUUGCUGGAGUACGGAAGAGGAGGGCGGAAUUCCCGGUGUAGCGGUGAAAUGCGUAGAUAUCGGGAGGAACAUCAGCGGCGAAGGCGGCCCUCUGGUCCAGUACUGACACUCAAGUGCGAAAGCGUGGGGAGCAAAUAGG
This 253-nucleotide ribosomal RNA is filed under the name uncultured bacterium. RNAcentral's name for it is "partial 16S ribosomal RNA". It matches the Rfam family "Bacterial small subunit ribosomal RNA", at positions 524 to 776 of the family's 1533-position model. The record is from RNAcentral.